This 73-nucleotide transfer RNA is filed under the name Bos taurus (domestic cattle). It matches the Rfam family "tRNA". Rfam says of the family: Transfer RNA (tRNA) molecules are approximately 80 nucleotides in length. The record is from Rfam by way of RNAcentral. Lineage: Eukaryota; Metazoa; Chordata; Mammalia; Artiodactyla; Bovidae. RNAcentral also lists the same sequence under 1 other name.
UCCCUGGUAGCCCAGAGGUUAGGGCUUUGUGUUUCCACUGCAGAGGGCAUAGGUUUGAUCCCUGGUCAGAGAA